CCUGAGAAACGGCUACCACAUCCAAGGAAGGCAGCAGGCGCGCAAAUUACCCACUCCCGGCACGGGGAGGUAGUGACGAAAAAUAACGAUACGGGACUCUUACGAGGCCUCGUAAUCGGAAUGAGUACACUUUAAAUAUUUUAACGAGGAACAAUUGGAGGGCAAGUCUGGUGCCAGCAGCCGCGGUAAUUCCAGCUCCAAUAGCGUAUACUAAAAUUGUUGCGGUUAAAAAGCUCGUAGUUGCAUUUGUGCGCCGCGCUGUCGGUGCCACGCAUCCGGCUAUACUGACACGUCUGCGGAACGUAUCGUCGGUGAGCCGGCGGUAAUAGGUCGUUCAAUACCAACUCAAAAUCCUAUCGCGGUGCUCUUCGGUGAGUGUCGAGGUGGGCCGACAAUUUUACUUUGAACAAAUUAGAGUGCUCAAAGCGGGCCAAAAUGCGGCNUGAAUAUUUCGUGCAUGGAAUAAUAGAAUAUGAUCUCGGUUCUAUUUUGUUGGUUUUCAGAACUCCGAGGUAAUGAUUAAUAGGGANAACUGGGGGCAUGGUGAAAUUCUUGGAUCGGUGAAAUUCUUGGACCGUCGCAAGACGAACAUCAGCGAAAGCAUUUGCCAAAGGUGUUUUCAUCAAUCAAGAACGAAAGUUAGAGGUUCGAAGGCGAUUAGAUACCCGCCUAGUUCUAACCGUAAAUNAUGUCAUCUAGCGAUCCGCCGACGUUACUACAAUGGCUCGGCGGGCAGCUUCCGGGAAACCAAAGAUUUUGGUCUCCGGGGGAGUAUGGUUGCAAAGCUGAAACUUAAAGGAAUUGACGGAAGGGCACCACCAGGAGUGGAGCCUGCGGCUUAAUUUGACUCAACACGGGAAAUCUCACCAGGCCCGGACACCGGAAGGAUUGACAGAUUAACAGCUCUUUCUUGAUUCGGUGGGUGGUGGUGCAUGGCCGUUCUUAGUUGGUGGAGCGAUUUGUCUGGUUAAUUCCGAUAACGAACGAGACUC
This 992-nucleotide ribosomal RNA is filed under the name Ascalapha odorata (black witch). Its description in RNAcentral is "SSU rRNA". It matches the Rfam family "Eukaryotic small subunit ribosomal RNA", at positions 395 to 1343 of the family's 1831-position model. The record is from RNAcentral. Lineage: Eukaryota; Metazoa; Arthropoda; Insecta; Lepidoptera; Erebidae.